Molecule: ribosomal RNA, 429 nt
Filed under: Gemmatimonadota bacterium
Lineage: Bacteria; Pseudomonadati; Gemmatimonadota
Description: Gemmatimonadetes bacterium partial 16S ribosomal RNA
Rfam family: Bacterial small subunit ribosomal RNA
Source: RNAcentral
UAGGGAAUCUUCGGCAAUGGACGAAAGUCUGACCGAGCAACGCCGCGUGAGUGAAGAAGGUUUUCGGAUCGUAAAACUCUGUUGUUAGAGAAGAACAAGGACGUUAGUAACUGAACGUCCCCUGACGGUAUCUAACCAGAAAGCCACGGCUAACUACGUGCCAGCAGCCGCGGUAAUACGUAGGUGGCAAGCGUUGUCCGGAUUUAUUGGGCGUAAAGCGAGCGCAGGCGGUUUCUUAAGUCUGAUGUGAAAGCCCCCGGCUCAACCGGGGAGGGUCAGUGGAAACUGGGAGACUUGAGUGCAGAAGAGGAGAGUGGAAGUCCAUGUGUAGCGGUGAAAUGCGUAGAUAUAUGGAGGAACACCAGUGGCGAAGGCGGCUCUCUGGUCUGUAACUGACGCUGAGGCUCGAAAGCGUGGGGAGCAAACAGG